GUUUUAUACAAUCGGAAGAAUUUUGUGAGUCCAUGCGCAAGGGCCAUCUCCCUAAUUCUCGGAAGUUUAUCUUGUUUGUGGACAAGAAAAUGUCCCUAGAAACAUCAGACGUAGUCCAUUAUGAAGAUUAAUCCUACUGUAUAAAAAAAGCAUCAAGGAAACCCCAGAGUUGGAACUUUGAAGAAAGUGACAGAUACAAUUACUAAAAUUGUUGAAUUGUCAAAGCUGUUGGAUGAUUUGUACAUGCAGAUUUGUGUGGUGUUUCAAGAUUAUUUUUUUUUUAAUUAUUGUGAUUAAACAAUUCUAAUAUGAAUAUUUUACAUUUAUAUUUAUUUAAAAUGUUGGCUUAUAUUAACAAUGCAUUUUGUAAAUAAAUAUUUAUAAAGGUAUAGCUCAUUUAUUUAUUUUAAUUUUUGAAAAUUUACCAGCACAUAAACAAAGGAACUAUGUGCUACGAUUAUGGUUCUUAUGUCUUACAAUGGCAUAUUCUGUACGUUAAUCAACUAGCAGUGCUGCUAAAUAUUAUGUUUUUUUGUUGUUUAAUGUUUCAAUUUUGUAACAGAAACUAUGUCUCCUAAGCAAAACUUAUUGUGGGAAUUUUUAGCAAAAAUUUUCGGGAUUUACAUAUCAUUAUAAGCUCUAUUGGUGUGUUUUUGCACUAAAAUAAUAAUAAAUACAGUAAAUGGAUAUUUAUUCAAAA
Long non-coding RNA from Bacillus rossius redtenbacheri, 700 nucleotides. RefSeq lists it as uncharacterized. The transcript has 3 exons. The record is from RefSeq and is a predicted model, not a curated record. NCBI's taxonomy places the organism in Eukaryota, Metazoa, Arthropoda, Insecta, Phasmatodea, Bacillidae.